Molecule: long non-coding RNA, 651 nt
Filed under: Marmota monax (woodchuck)
Lineage: Eukaryota; Metazoa; Chordata; Mammalia; Rodentia; Sciuridae
Source: RNAcentral
AAAAAUAAUGAAGUGUCAGAUACGCAGGGGCUGUGAUUAAAGGCCUUGCUUGGGCUUUGAAUGUGGUCAAGGGAAGAGGUGAAUCAUGUCUCAAAUCCUUCCCUUGCCUUCUGUAAUGGGGGUGCAUGGUGUGAAGGAAAAAAAGCCAGGGUGUGUGCAUCUCUUGACAGACAUCUGAAAUAGAUCAGGAUCCUGUUGCAGGCUGGAGGGUUUCCUCAGAACCCCUCUCUUCAUCCCCAAAGCUGUAAUUGCCAAAAUAGGUUAUCAGAAUUUCAGCGUAUGCGAGUAUCUCACUAAUGCUCAUUUGCUGACUUUAAUGAGUUCCAGAACCAAUCUGUGAUCUUACAGUCAGCUCAGGUUUAUCACCAAAAGAAAGUCCGUAAGUCUGGUGUGGGAGGUCAGCUCAGCAGAACACAGCAGGGAGACAUUGAUGUGAAAAUGAAUUUAAAUGAAUUCUGGUGGACAUUGUAAGGCUUCACAGUCCUUUAAUACCAUUAAGCACAAAAAUGUUUGGUGUCGGAUGUCCUGAUGAGCUCGGCUCUUGUAUAAUACCUGUCUUGAAAACCACACGCAACUAUCCUUUUGUUCUCUCUUCAAAUUUCACAGCUUCCUCUAGUCUACCGAAAAAGGGAAACUCGUAUCUCCAAGCUG